RNAcentral lists this ribosomal RNA (416 nucleotides) under uncultured haloarchaeon. RNAcentral's name for it is "bacterial SSU rRNA". The stretch from base 145 to 416 matches the Rfam family "Archaeal small subunit ribosomal RNA", at positions 500 to 772 of the family's 1478-position model. The record is from RNAcentral. Lineage: Archaea; Methanobacteriati; Methanobacteriota; Halobacteria; Halobacteriales; Halobacteriaceae.
UGGCACUAUGAUAGGGCCAACCAGAAAAGAAUUGGCGAAAAGAAGAGACCGAUCAGGGCGUCAGUACAGGAAUUGGAGGGGGAGCACAUCUUGACAACAAGAACAAGCCGACCACUAAUACCGGCACCUAAAGUGAUGACCGGGAUUAUGGGGGGUAAAGCGUCCUUAACCGGCCCAAAGGUUCAUCGGGAAAUCCGCCACAAAACUGGGGGCGUCCGGGGAAAACCACGUGGCUUGGAACCGGAAGGCUCGAGGGGUACUUCCGGGGUAGGAGUGAAAUCCCGUAACCCUGGCCGGACCCCCGAUGGCGAAAGCACCUCGAGAAUAUUGGGGGGGUUUGUGAGGGACGAAGGGUGGGGCCUCGAACGGGAUUACAUCCCCGGCCAGCCCUACCCUGCAAACGAUGCUCGCUAGGC